UGCAAAAGAGAUUGGCCUAAUUAGAGAGGCAGAGGUGCCACUGGGACAGGAAAGGCUGAGGGUGAGCGGGUUUCGGAGGGAGGCCUGGAGUGCUGAUCAUUUCAGUGUGAGCGGCCUGUUGGGGUCCCGGGGGAGGACUCCCAGGAGGUGGACAGUGCACAGUGUGAGUCUGGAGUUCAGGGGAGAGGCUUGGGCCCCGGGAAUGCAUGUUGGAGUUGCUGGUGGAUGGAACUCGCAGCACCCCUGACACUGCGGCAUUGGCCCUGAUGGGUGACAUGGCCACUCCCUCACACGUCUGCACCGAGUGCAGGGCACUGGCCCAGGCUGCCAGGGCUGAGGGCUUCAGACGAGGAGCUGGCACCAGGGCAUGAGACCCAGCUUCGGCUCACAGUCACCUCCCCUGGAUGCUGUCCAUCUGUCCAUGCAGCCAUUGGCUCAUCCGUCCCCUACCUGUCUAUCCACCCAUCCAGCCAUGCACUCACCCGCGCAGCUGUCUUUCACCCCGAGGGUGUACAGACCACUGGCCACUGUUGUCACGUUCUCACGGGCUCUAUCCUGUCCUUCCAAGUCCACUUGGCUUCUCUCUGGAGCCUUCACAGAGCCUAGAAGCAGAGCUGGGAAGACUCCACGGCUCUUGCCUGCUUUGGGGGCCCUGCCCUCCAUGGCGUAUUCGGGCUGGACCCAUACGCUCCACUCGCCCCCUCACUGGACCAGUAGUGUGUCCCAAGAGUGUGUUCCCAAGAGUGUGUCCCCAAGAGUGUUGGCAACUACACUUUUACCAGGAAAUGUGGGGCUUAGGACCCUGCAGGGCAGCUCGAAGUGCCUCUCAGACACCAGCUGGACUCAUCUCCUGCACCCUGGGUGAUAGUUUGGAAACUGAGUUCCAGAAAGGGCCAGCGAGGGACCUAAGGACACACAGUGUCCUCCUCUCUGAGCUUACGACCUUGUGUCCUCCAGGCUCCGAUCUGCUCCAGCUCUUGGGCUCCAUGAGCCACCUCCUAUUCCCCAGGGGUCCCUUGCAGCCCGACACGGGGUCCUCCGCAGGGAUGCAGCCCUGAGUCCCGAAGACACGGCCCCCUCAUCGGUCCCCUCCACCGGGAAGAGGAUUCACGAGGAAGCCUUUGCCCAGGUGGUUUCUCUGCCUCCCUCCACCUCCACGUCACAUGGACUCACCUGUCUCAGCCAUGCCAUGCCGCCUGAUGAGGCCAGGUCCCUAUUCGAGGCCCUUCUAGUGCCAGGACUCCACUGGGGCCCUGGGUACAACUGGAACCGGUUCCUGCGGUGACCCAGUGGGGCAGGCUCCCUUCGGGGCAGGGCUGCGGGCAUGGCUGGGCCCCUGUGCCUGGCACAGGGCAGGUGGCGGGCCACCCUGAAAAGGACUCUGGGGAUGUGGAGCUCCAUGGGGAGAUGCUUCAGGUGGCCCAGUACGGCCCAGACCUGGAGCAAGAGGCAUCCCUGGGCCCAUUUCUGCCCAGAAAGAACGGAGGGUCUCCGUGAUGCAGAGAACCAGCCGGGGCGGCCCCGGGAGGGGAUCAGACUGGUCACCCCAGCGCCUUCCUCACGAGGCCACAGGAGGGGACCGGGCAUGAGCAUGCUGGGGACCCCCUCCCCUUCGCCGGCUUCCCGGAUCUUCCUGGGGAAGGACAGCGGCUGCAGUCACGCAGGAGGCUGACACCACUGUCACCUCCCUCACACCGUAGGCUGGCAAGGCCCCCGGACAUUGAUAUUUAUAUUGAUUUGUGUCACGCCCAAUCACUUCAUCUUCUGAGA
Long non-coding RNA from Nyctereutes procyonoides (raccoon dog), 1770 nucleotides. RefSeq lists it as uncharacterized. The record is from RefSeq and is a predicted model, not a curated record. The transcript has 4 exons. Lineage: Eukaryota; Metazoa; Chordata; Mammalia; Carnivora; Canidae.